Molecule: ribosomal RNA, 443 nt
Filed under: uncultured bacterium
Lineage: Bacteria
Description: partial 16S ribosomal RNA
Rfam family: Bacterial small subunit ribosomal RNA
Source: RNAcentral
CCUACGGGAGGCAGCAGUGGGGAAUAUUGGACAAUGGGGGGAACCCUGAUCCAGCGACGCCGCGUGAGUGAAGAAGUAUUUCGGUAUGUAAAGCUCUAUCAGCAGGGAAGAAAGAAAUGACGGUACCUGACUAAGAAGCCCCGGCUAACUACGGGCCAGCAGCCGCGGUAAUACGGAGGGGGCAAGCGUUAUCCGGAUUUACGGGGUGUAAAGGGAGCGUAGACGGUAGUGCAAGUCUGAAGUGAAAGGCGGGGGCCCAACCCCCGGACUGCUUUGGAAACUGUAUGGCUGGAGUGCAGGAGAGGUAAGUGGAAUUCCUAGUGUAGCGGUGAAAUGCGUAGAUAUUAGGAGGAACACCAGGGGCGAAGGCGGCUUACUGGACUGUAACUGACGUUGAGGCUCGAAAGCGUGGGGAGCAAACAGGAUUAGAUACCCGAGUAGUC